AUUCCAGCUCCAAUAGCGUAUAUUAAAGUUGUUGCAGUUAAAAAGCUCGUAGUUGAACUUUGGGCCCGGUUGGCCGGUCCGAUUUUUUCGUGUACCGGAUUUCCAACGGGGCCUUUCCUUCUGGCUAACCUUGAGUCCUUGUGGCUCUUGGCGAACCGGGACUUUUACUUUGAAAAAAUUAGAGUGUUCAAAGCAGGCGUAUUGCUCGAAUAUAUUAGCAUGGAAUAAUAGAAUAGGACGUUUGGUUCUAUUUUGUUGGUUUCUAGGACCAUCGUAAUGAUUAAUAGGGACGGUCGGGGGCAUCAGUAUUCAAUUGUCAGAGGUGAAAUUCUUGGAUUUAUUGAAGACUAACUACUGCGAAAGCAUUUGCCAAGGACGUUUUCAUUA
This 387-nucleotide ribosomal RNA is filed under the name Saccharomyces sp. Its description in RNAcentral is "partial small subunit ribosomal RNA". It matches the Rfam family "Eukaryotic small subunit ribosomal RNA", at positions 582 to 975 of the family's 1831-position model. Lineage: Eukaryota; Fungi; Ascomycota; Saccharomycetes; Saccharomycetales; Saccharomycetaceae. The record is from RNAcentral.